RNAcentral lists this ribosomal RNA (433 nucleotides) under uncultured bacterium. Its description in RNAcentral is "partial 16S ribosomal RNA". It matches the Rfam family "Bacterial small subunit ribosomal RNA", at positions 29 to 507 of the family's 1533-position model. The record is from RNAcentral.
AACGAACGCUGGCGGCAUGCCUAACACAUGCAAGUCGAACGAGACCUUCGGGUCUAGUGGCGCACGGGUGCGUAACGCGUGGGAACCUGCCCUUAGGUUCGGAAUAACUCCCCGAAAGGGGUGCUAAUACCGGAUAAUGUCUUCGGACCAAAGAUUUAUCGCCUUUGGAUGGGCCCGCGUUGGAUUAGCUAGUUGGUAGGGUAAAAGCCUACCAAGGCGACGAUCCAUAGCUGGUCUGAGAGGAUGAUCAGCCACACUGGGACUGAGACACGGCCCAGACUCCUACGGGAGGCAGCAGUGGGGAAUAUUGGACAAGGGGCGAAAGCCUGAUCAAGCAAUGCCGCGUGAGUGAUGAAGGCCUUAGGGUUGUAAAGCUCUUUUACCCGGGAUGAUAAUGACAGUACCGGGAGAAUAAGCUCCGGCUAACUACGUG